AUACGAAGGGUGCAAGCGUUAAUCGGAAUUACUGGGCGUAAAGCGCGCGUAGGCGGUUUGUUAAGUCAGAUGUGAAAGCCCCAGGCUCAACCUGGGAACUGCAUUUGAAACUGGCAGGCUAGAGUGUGGUAGAGGGAAGUGGAAUUUCAGGUGUAGCGGUGAAAUGCGUAGAUAUCUGAAGGAACAUCAGUGGCGAAGGCGACUUCCUGGACCAACACUGACGCUGAGGUGCGAAAGCGUGGGUAGCAAACAGGAUUAGAAACCCGAGUAGUCC
RNAcentral lists this ribosomal RNA (274 nucleotides) under uncultured bacterium. Its description in RNAcentral is "partial 16S ribosomal RNA". It matches the Rfam family "Bacterial small subunit ribosomal RNA", at positions 523 to 796 of the family's 1533-position model. The record is from RNAcentral.